This 241-nucleotide unclassified non-coding RNA is filed under the name plant metagenome. Its description in RNAcentral is "partial contains small subunit ribosomal RNA, internal transcribed spacer 1, and 5.8S ribosomal RNA". The record is from RNAcentral.
UUUCCGUAGGUGAACCUGCGGAAGGAUCAUUAUUGAAUGAAACACUUCUGGCUUUAUGCUGUUGUGCUGGCCCUUUGGGCAAUGUGCACACGGCUCUGGUCACUUGUUUCUUCUGUUCCACCUGUGCACUGCCAGUAGACACGCUGUGUCUAUGAUAUUUGUUAACACACAACAAUGUUAGUUGGCAUGUUAUAUAUAAUAAUAAAAUAUACAACUUUCAACAACGGAUCUCUUGGCUCUC